UCCACGCCGUAAACGAUGGGUGCUAGGUGUUGGUCCGGUUCACGCCGGAUCAGUGCCGCAGCUAACGCAUUAAGCACCCCGCCUGGGGAGUACGGCCGGCAAGGUUGAAACUCAAAGGAAUUGGACGGGGGCCCGCACAAGCGGUGGAGCAUGUGGUUUAAUUCGAUGCAACGCGAAGAACCUUACCUGGGCUUGAACUGCUGGUGGUAGG
This 211-nucleotide ribosomal RNA is filed under the name uncultured bacterium. RNAcentral's name for it is "partial 16S ribosomal RNA". It matches the Rfam family "Bacterial small subunit ribosomal RNA", at positions 794 to 999 of the family's 1533-position model. The record is from RNAcentral.